Long non-coding RNA from Numida meleagris (helmeted guineafowl), 5309 nucleotides. RefSeq lists it as uncharacterized. The transcript has 5 exons. The record is from RefSeq and is a predicted model, not a curated record. Lineage: Eukaryota; Metazoa; Chordata; Aves; Galliformes; Numididae.
CCUGCUGGGAUAGAAGCUCCUUUGAAGCCUGAGUCUGGAAGCUGGUACAGGUUGCUUAGGUACAGGCUGAGCUCCUGAGGAGCUGUGGGGAUGUACAUGAGGAAAGGAGAGGGUUUUCAGCCUAAACUAUUAGAGUAAUUUGUGAUGUGACUGCUGAGUAGCGUUGUGGGGAGUGGGGGCUCCAUGUCUUCUUCAACCUUAAUUAAAGAUAAUCCAAAUUCAUGGUUUCUAACUACACGUGGAGGAUGGCUUAGUAUUGCUAACGCUAUGCAGUGUUUGAAGCUGAGAAGUUCCUCAAGUUCCAGGACAGCAUGAGCCAGCAUCCCCUUGCAGUGCCACUGAUGGGGAAUGGACUUCUUCAAUGCUGCUCCAGAGCCACUGGGACGUAGAGUCUUAAGGACAGGAAAAUGUGGUUGCAGAGAGAUCCCAAACAACAUCCUCAAUGUGCAGGCAGCAGCCACUGAUCCUCACGGAACAAACACGUCCCCCUUCCAACCUGAGAGACAACACAGGGUUCUUUGAUUCCUCCUAAUUGCAUUUCAGUGUUUGUGGUCCAGUUGUACUGUUUCUGCAGAAGUUCAGCAAUUUUGGUUGCUGGCUUCCUCUCCGCGCUGACCUACAAAUACCAGUUUUCAGGGAAAGAUUUAUGAGCAGCAUGAAAUUACCGUCUUGUAAAAGCACAAAUCAUGGCUAUAAAUAGGGGUCUGGAAUAUGUGCAGAAACCCGGAGGGAAUGGAGACUCUUGCUUUGUCUGUGCAGGACAGCCCUGCUAACCAGGUUCAGGAGCCCGGUGCUCUGACUCUUGUAAGCUGGCACAGUGCCCACCAACCUUCCACUAAUCCCUAUCCCUGCAAGGAUGGAAAUAACAUCUGGCCAGGCUGACAUUGCUCAGGCUUUAUAGCAACUGAGAGCUCUGAAAACUGAACCUUCUCAAGCCUCGUAUGCAUUUAUCUUCCUUUCCAGAACAUUAGUAGGCAAAGUUUGUUUUCAGUGAGUUAUUUAGCAGAAAGAGGGAUUAGACCGAGGGCUAGCAUUGAUUAACCCCUGCACGUUGAGUUGUUUAACAGCAUAAUGGAUUAGUCAUGUUUGCUGGUGACCUUUUGUCAAUCGAAUCCCUCAUCUGAAGUCUCUUCUGUCUUUCUAAAUACACAUACGCUUAGGAGUGGAAUCUGUACUAAAAUAUCCCUAAAAUGAAUACCUAGCUUAGCAUAGCACAGGUCUAGGGUGAAUAGUCCUGGAGUUUCUGAUCUUAGUUUGACAUUGUGUGAGUUAAGCUAUGGGUACCCCACUUCUGUCACUGGCUGCUUUGCAUUGCCCAUAGAAUGGAUCAAAGUGUUUGCAGAGUCCUGCCUGAAAGCCACGUAUGGGGCACAGAUAGCCUGCCUAGAAAGGCAGUGCCGGAAAAGGACUGAAUUUUCUAUGGGAUUUGGAAAUCAGAUCACUGUAAUGCUUGGUGGUUAAGUGGUCAGCUUCAUUUAAAGGAAGGUGGAGCUUCAAUGCCUUUAGGGCUAUGUCAAUCUAAAUUGGCUGGGCAUCUGAUGUAGAUAGUAUGCAGUUCUACUCCUGAAGCUAGGGACUGAGGGGGAGAGAAGCUGCUUGCUGAGGCCAGGCAUGACCCCAGUGCGACAUCUCCAACAGCAAUAAGAUUGGAUCUUCAAAGAGAUGCGAAGUGCUGGUGGAUUCAUCUGCAUGGCUGAUGAAAAUGUGUGGCCAAACUGCCUUGGAUUUGCAUGGAGAGGUGUCUGAGGAGGAAUGGCCAGCCAACCUGAAAUUUCAGAUGGCUGGAAAAAAAAAACCACCAGCUCUUAGAGCAUAUCAUCCUCCAAACAGACAUCGUGUUUCUGCUGUAGGAGUAUAAUGGGCACACGGAUGCUGCAACCUGGAAAUCCAACAGAAGCGAGGCUGUCAGGUUUGUCCCAGAGUUACCCAAACUGGAAAUCUCAUCAGUGGGAAGAGGGACUGAAGUCACCGUGGGGACUCGUGGCAAGGUGCUGGUGCGUCUGAGAAGGUGGCUUACUGGAAACACUGAACGGACAGAAGUAAAAAUGAGUCAUGUCAGAGACCACUCGGCAGCUGGACAGGGUUCCUUGAGUGAUUCAUCCACAAAAAUGACUGCUUUGCCUGACGUUUUCUUUCCCCUCUCUAUUUAGAAAGUCACUUAGACUGCCGUGGCUGUGGUCCGUUGUCUGGAUUGUUUUUUUGAUGGCUGGGUGGUACGCAUAGCAUCCUUGUAUUCUCAUCAUUUCUAAACCACUACUUCAACCAGGGGGGAAAAAAGACACAACCAAAUUAAGGGCUCUGUCACUCCAGAAGCCCUCAGUGGAAUGAACCUGUAAUCUUAGGAAAUCAAAGGGGAAUCUAGGGAAUGUGUCAUUUUUAGUGUCUUUAAGGCAGCAAAAUUACAAGCGAAAAUAGCUGCCUAUAAAUUGUGUUACAAGGUUAAUUGACAGGAAUAUUGGAGAAGGGCAAGUCUGGAUGAAAGCCUGUGGGUCUGAACUGCUCUAUUUCAGGGGGAGGUCUAAAGAAAGAACCAUCACCUGAUGCAACCAAACUGUACCGGGAUGCUUCUGUCGGUUACUAGACCUCAGCAGAGGAAUUCAGAAGUGACGCUGCUCUGUGGCCCUGCUGCGACCAGGCAUUCUUGUGAAAUGCACUCAGAUUUUUUCAGGGUUACUGAGCUGCAGAAACCAGCAGUGGAAAAGGUCUCUGUGGUCUCUAUCAGCCCACUGAUGGCGGAGCAGGACCCUUCCCGACCACGCAGAGUUCAGUCCAGACCAAUCUGAUGUGAUUCAUGCCACUGGAUUUCUCACAGCUUCCUUUGGGAAAUCUAAUUGACUUUCCAUGACUGAGGAGAUCUUAACGUACAGAUCAUUUCCCUUCUGCCUUAGACUGAAUUUUACGACACUUAAUUUCCAUCCCAUUCUCAUUCGAGCCGCAAACUCCACCUGUGAGGUGCUGUACCCUCCCAUAGAUACAAGCAGCACGCUCAGGUGGCACGGGCUGCAAGAAUUAUGUCAGCUUUUGACAGCACAGAGCUCAGGAACUGCCGAGAUGAAAAGGCACCAUCAGCUGCAGAGUGGGUACUCGUAAGUGUGGACUGCCACACUUGCAAAAGUAAUUCCACAUCCUAUGGGUUAAGAUUUACAACUUCCAGUUUCUUAUUCAGCUCGAUAUGCCAAGAUUUCCAGCAAUUUGUUUCAGGUUUGGGACGCUCCUGGGAAGGAUUCCAGCUCGUCUCUGAUUAAGCAAGAGGGCAUCUUGAAGAAUGUAAUUAGCUAAUUGUGGUAGGGGAAAAUGAAAUGCAGGCUUCUUCUUGGUAUGACACAAAGCUUGCUUAUACUUAGAAGCCACCGAAGCUGAUCUUUAGUAAUAGCAGAUAACUGUGCAUGGAAUACUUGGUAAAACCAGCGUGAUGAACACUCGAAGAGGCUGGUAAUAGGAAAGAUUGGUGGAUGCGAUCACAGUUACAUUUUGGGGAAUGUAAGAUAGCAGGGAGGUGGGACACCUCAUUUCUGGAAAAUGAGCUACCCCAGCAAAGCUGCUCAUCAGCAUUCCUGGAAUAGCAAUGAGAAGCAAUUACUGGGGAAAAGUAUGUCCUAGUGACCACUGUUAACGUGCAAAAAGCAGAGAGGCAUGGGCUGCAAGCUGUCAUCUGCUCGUUUGUGUCCUGUCCAUCCCCUUUCAUCCCUGGGGAAAAUGCUGAAAGCCUUUCUUGUGGAGGCACUUGAAAAUAAACUCCGCAGUGGUCUAGAUGGAAAUAUUUCUCAUGGCACGCAAGGCUGGCCCUGGGAGCCAGUGGGGAAUUGAGGACCUGUACGCAAGCCUUGCGGCUAAGGGCUCACCUCUCAUCUUCAGACAUGAUUACGAUGGACAAACUAGAGCUCAAAACUGAGUUUUGUAGCCUGUACUCAGCAAAGCCCGUGUUAGGGUCACGCAGAGUUUGAGGGACUUAGGAAUACCUCCAUUUUUUUGACCCUUGUGAAGAUCAUAGGGUAAGUUACGGGUCCUUGGGCCUUAACGUAAAGCUUUCUGCAGCAUCAAGGGUUAUCUGCCUGAAGUCUAGACAGAUGAUAUAGGGGUUAGCCUGGGGCACUGGCCACAGAUCACAGUGAGGAAAUGAAAGGCAGGGAUAAGGAGAGGGAAGAGCAGCUCUCCUGCCGAUCUCUCAGGAUGACACUAGAUGCGGAGAGGAGCUCGAUGGAAGGUGAGCUGAGUUCAUCCUUUGCAGGCACCGUGGUGUGAUUUCUGUCCCUGUGCUUAAUAUCAAUUCUGCUCAAACACAAGGCUUGGAGUUGUUCGCACCGAACUGAGGAGAAGGCAACAACGCUGGAAAAAGAGGAGGAGUGGAAAGUCUGCUCGCUUCAUAAUGCUAUUUCCUCUAUUAAACAAGCCUCUUUGACUAUGAAACAUUGAAGCGUGCAAAAAAACAAGCCCCACCUUGUGCUGGCUGCUCGCUCCCCUGAUGGGGUUUGUCCUGGUGCCACCUCAUGGCAAAAGUCAGAUCUGAAUUUCCAACAGAAUGGCUGAAGCCUGGAAGAACGGGCCGCCCGGCUCCCAGCCUUGCAAAGCCAAUGCAGGUGUUUAAUGCUGGAGUGGUGCUAAUUUUAGUCUUGUUUUGCAACUUCUCUUUCCAUGAGAGAAAAAUCUGAAGUGCAGGGAGUAUUUCUAACGGAGUGUUUUGCAUCUGGGGGGGGUACCUGUCCCAGAAAUCCAAGCUGAGAGGUGGGAGGUUGCAGGUUGGUAUUGUGACUUCAGCAUCAUGCACUUGGUACAGGUUGAGUUGGGGAUGGAUGCAACAGCCUUACAUCCUUACAAAGAGUACAGGUACGUUAUCUGAUUGGAGAGGAAGGAGGGGAAUUCUUUUUACAGACCGUGUGCUGCCCUUGAAUAGUAUUUGGAAUAAUUCCUGAUAGCGUUUGCCUUUCCUGGUUACUCAUGCAACAGCUCAAGCAGCUCUAAGAGUUUCAUUCUCAGCCUGUUCUUGGCAGGUGGUCAUAGGAUUUAACUUAUUAUCAGUGCAACCUGGAGUUUUGCUGAUUAUCCCAAUAUUUACUUUUGAAUCAUAGACUGUUUUGGUGGAGUGCACGUGUCUGACUGCUUUCAUGGCACAUAAAUGAUGAGCAAUUUGUUUUACCUACGUGUCCCCAUGGUGUGGAAAGCUCACCAACAUCUCCAUUCAAUAACCAACAGUUAGCUGAGCUCAAGAUGCAUUUAAUCGUAAAAAAUAUGGUUAUGAAGAGCUGCCAUUCCCUGGAGAUAUUUGGCCAUCCACAACUGCUGCAGUCGGUGUUGGCUAUUGGGAUGUUACC